GUAGUUAACCAGUUCAAGUUCAAACCUUCAAAGUGGGCCACCAUUAGAGCUACUUACAAGUUGUCCACUGAGAGGAGGUACUUCAACACAGUGCUUAAGAAGCGAGCUCUAUUUGUAAUACUUACUAACGGCGACCAAAGGUAAGCCAUCGCCAAACAUUGUCACUCUUGAUAGUUUGACUUGAUUUUUGGCUAUACUAAUGGCGUAUUUCACUUGCAGAGUAACAUGGUAGAAAGAAGUAUGUCAAGCACGACAUGUUCUAUAUGAGCCACCUGGCCAAGGAGAAGAAAAAGAAACUAUUGAACUCCACUUCUUCCGUCUACAAGGAAGUUGGUUCUAGUAAAGAACA
RNAcentral lists this long non-coding RNA (349 nucleotides) under Olea europaea (common olive). RNAcentral's name for it is "long non-coding RNA (OEUR_LNC005055)". Lineage: Eukaryota; Viridiplantae; Streptophyta; Magnoliopsida; Lamiales; Oleaceae. The record is from RNAcentral.